GACGUAGGGCGCGAUCGUUGUCCGGAAUUAUUGGGCGUAAAGAGCUCGUAGGCGGUGUGUCACGUCGGCCGUGAAAACCUGCAGCUUAACUGUGGGCGUGCGGUCGAUACGGGCAUCACUGGAGUUCGGCAGGGGAGACUGGAAUUCCUGGUGUAGCGGUGAAAUGCGCAGAUAUCAGGAGGAACACCGGUGGCGAAGGCGGGUCUCUGGGCCGAUACUGACGCUGAGGAGCGAAAGCGUGGGGAGCAAACAGG
This 254-nucleotide ribosomal RNA is filed under the name uncultured bacterium. RNAcentral describes it as "partial 16S ribosomal RNA". It matches the Rfam family "Bacterial small subunit ribosomal RNA", at positions 524 to 776 of the family's 1533-position model. The record is from RNAcentral.